This is a long non-coding RNA of Spinacia oleracea (spinach), 2556 nucleotides long. RefSeq lists it as uncharacterized. The record is from RefSeq and is a predicted model, not a curated record. Lineage: Eukaryota; Viridiplantae; Streptophyta; Magnoliopsida; Caryophyllales; Amaranthaceae. The transcript has 3 exons.
GAUCCUGUUACAACGUACAUCUCUUUGUUCCCUGCAACAGGUCAGUCUCAAAAAUUUGUUCGCUUCAAAGAAUUAAGACUGGCUCGCAUUGCAGGGACUUUGAAUUUUAUUUCAGUUUCAAAAUUUUCAUUCCUCUCUUCUUUCCUCGGCUCUACCAGAAACACCGCACUCGUUGUCCCCUUGUUCUUCUUCGAUCUUCCUCUCUGCUUUUUUCACCUUCCCCCCUUCUUCUUCCCUCUGCGUAUUUUCUCUCUCCUCUGCUUCUCAGUCACUCACCUCUACUCCUCUCAUCUGGUCCGGCAGAAAAAUAUUUUACAAGCAGACAUAGCUUCCCGUAAUUCAACCACGCAGACUUAGAUUGCAGGGAUUUUACAAGAAAACCUAGCACGACGGCACCAUUCCCUUCUCUUGCCGGGAUUUUAAUUUGGAAUUAUGUUUAGGAAAUAAGGGUUUGUGAAUUAGAAUUUGGAGAUUUGGGAGUUAGGGCUUUUCGUAUCGGCGGCAAAGCACCACUCGCGCGGAACCACUCCAUAACAGCGGCGUGCCCCUAGUGUUGGUCGACGGAGCAAGCUAGAAUUACUUUAAGGAGAAAAAAGCUACAAACUCUCUAAUCUCUAUACGAGAGUGAGAAUCAAAAGACAGAGGACGAGUUGUUCCUCGAGGCCACAGGUAGAUGGACUGACAAGGGAAGAGUAUUUGGUAUGGGAGCAUCAACAGACUCAUACUAUGAGAGACCAGGAGUUUAAGAGAGGAACGCAAAAAUAGUAUAGAGGGUUCUUCAAUACAUUGAUGAGAAAGCUACGUGCAAGGGGCACUACUGGUAUGCAAUUUUCUGGUUUUUAGUCCUAUCUUUUUAGGAUGAGUCCGAAAAUUCAGCUCGUAUCUUUUAGUUUCCGUCUUUUAUUAGGUAUAUGCCGCUACAGCCUCUAGUGUCGGUCUAUGUAAGCACAUUUAAUUUAAGGCUCAUUGGGUCGUUAUAGGUCAUAUUUAUGAAUAACUUCCUUUGAUUUAUAGCUAACCUAAAUAAUGCUUUUAUGGUCUCCAUUUACGGUGCGACAUUUAGCGAGCAUCAAAGCGAACUAAUUCUCAAACAAGUAAUCAUAACUACUUAGGUUUUGAGGAAUAAGUUUCAAUCAAGAAUGAUUUAUGAGAUGACUUUAAUAUCUUGAAAUGUUCUCAUGGUCACCCCGUAACACCCCAGUAUUUUUCUAAAAUAAUGUUUUGUAAAGAAAUUGGUUUAUAUUACUACUCAACUUUUAUUUAACUUUAUAUCUAUUCAAAGGGAAAGUUUAUUCUUAUAUCCGAUUAUUUUACAGCUUGAUUUUCUAAUUACUUCCAUUUAAAUACUAAUCAAAAGUCGUUACUAUCAUAUUUAUUCCCCAAAUAAAAGAAACAACUUUAUUCCUCUUAAUUGUACUAAUUAACCGUGCAUAGUGGAGCUUUACUUCUUUGAUUCUUAUUCUUAUUAGAUUUAUAACCUCCAUUGACUCUCCAUUUCAUAACACCCAAAGUGAGCUUAGACUUUUCAUUUCUUAUUCCCCUUCCUGCUUUUCUCAACCGUGAGUCCUACCCCUUUCCCUUCUGUUUUUGUUUCUCCUUCACCAAAAAAAAUAUCAAACAACAUAAAGUACUCUUACUCUUCUUGCGGGUCAUAAUAGUUUUGUAAGUGUUGCUUGUCCAAACGAUCGAUUUACAAGGUUGGUUUUACCCAUUGGUUUGUCUAUAAGGAGAAGAGCGUGACGGUUCCGAGGCGUGAUUUCGGUAUUCUAGCACUUCUCUCGUUGGUCGAGAUUUUCUUGAUUUUACACAAAAAUCUCAAACGAAGGAGAACAAGAACUCGUCGCUCUUUACCAGGACGAGUUUCCAAAUUCCGACGCUUUCGAUGCCGCUGCUAUUGAUAUGUGUGUUUUAUAUAGAGUUUUUACCCCCGUCCCUUAGUACUUUUCUGCAUCAAAUGGGCUCUUAGGAGUCGUUUUUAGUACUAAUAUGUGUUGUAAUGUGCCUGGAGUUUCAGGAUUUGUUCGAUGAGAAAUUAGCCUUUUUAGGCUCGUUUCGCAAUGAUAUAGGCCACUACACGGACCCCGAGUAGGUUCGGGAUGAUUACGGUCGACCCUUGGGAGCCUAGGAUGCCUAUGUUCGAGCCUCGAGAGUUAGACUUGGUGCUUUGAGUGAAGGACGAUGUAUUCUGCGAAUCGCCCUUUGAGUGGAGGGCGGAAUGAGAAAACCGGGCGAAGAAAAAGACUUCUGAAAGUUUCAACACGCGCCGGAUCGGGCGGAAUUUCGCCCGAUCGACCUGCUUGUCGAGCAUAAUGCCCGAUCGGGCGGUCGUCUGCCCGAUCGGGCGGCGCCAACCUCUAUGCCUUUUUCGCGAGUUUUAUUUCCGAUUUUGAGUUGUAUUUUGGGCAAACUAUAAAUACUAAGCCCUUUUAUUUUUAGUGACAUCUUAUUCCUUAGUUUCAAACACUUAGUUUUAUUCUCAUAGCUUAGUUUAUUCUCUCAAUUUGUUGCAACACUUAGUUUUUAAUUUCAAUCAAAAAUUCAAGCUUUCAUUAUUCA